RNAcentral lists this ribosomal RNA (251 nucleotides) under uncultured bacterium. RNAcentral describes it as "partial 16S ribosomal RNA". It matches the Rfam family "Bacterial small subunit ribosomal RNA", at positions 83 to 334 of the family's 1533-position model. The record is from RNAcentral.
CACUGGUGGCGACCGGCGCACGGGUGAGUAACACGUGUGCAACCAACCCCGUACCGGGAGAUAACCCGCGGAAACGUGGACUAACAUCCCAUGAGACUCUAGAUCCGCAUGGCUCUAGAUUUAAAAUUCCGGUGGUACGGGACGGGCACGCGCGACAUUAGGUAGUUGGCGGGGUAACGGCCCACCAAGCCGACGAUGUCUAGGGGUUCUGAGAGGGAGGUCCCCCACACUGGAACUGAGACACGGUCCAG